RNAcentral lists this long non-coding RNA (1479 nucleotides) under Homo sapiens (human). RNAcentral describes it as "HSALNT0197476". The record is from RNAcentral. Lineage: Eukaryota; Metazoa; Chordata; Mammalia; Primates; Hominidae.
UCCAUGGUCCCCUCCAGCUGUGAGGUGGGGGCAGGUGUCGCCCCAUGGUCCCCUCCAGCUGUGAGGUGGGGGCAGGUGUCGGCUCCAUGGACCCCUCCAGCUGUGAGGUGGGGGCAGGUGUCGCUCCAUGGACCCCUCCAGCUGAUGAGCGACCCCCGCUGCCCAGCGACCCUCUGCUGCUGCCCUGGUUCCCCUACCCUGUCACUGACUCAAGGUCUUGGUUUCUAUAAUUAAUCCCUCUCUCUUGCAUAUAAUUUCUUCCCUUUUCAGUAUCUAUUAUUUCCCAUGUAAAAUACUAACACCCUCCACUGACCUCACAUUCCCUCCAGUUAUCCUCCCUGUAUAACGAAGCCCUCGGCAGGGCACGGCCUCACCUCCCACCUCAGCAGGGCACGGCCUCACCUCCCACCUCAGCAGGGCACGGCCUCACCUCCCAUCUCAGCAGGGCACGGCCUCACCUCCCAUCUCAGCAGGGCACGGCCUCACCUCCCAUCUCUGCAGGGCACGGCCUCACCUCCCAUCUCAGCAGGGCACGGCCUCGCCUCCCAUCUCUGCAGGGCACGGCCUCACCUCCUACCUUAGCAGGGCACGGCCUCACCUCCCACCUCAGCAGGGCACGGCCUCACCUCCCAUCUCUGCUGAGUCCACUUCAUUCAGGCUUCCGUCCCCAGCUCCCUCUGAAACCACACCUGUCCAGGUCACCAGCGAGGUCAGUGUUGCCGAACCCGGUGGCCCCCUCUUCCUGGCCUUCCCAGGGGCAGCUUCCCUGACUGACCACUCCCUCCUUCUUGAACCUUUUUUUUCACUUGGACUUGAGGACCCCGUACUCUUUCCCAUCCUUGCCCUCCCCUCAGUUCCACCUCAGGCUCCUCUGCUGAACCCUCGUCUUCCUCCAGGCCUCUAGUUCUGCAAUGCCCCAGCUCCCAGUCCUGAGCCCCUUCUCUCUUCCCACGUUCUCCCGGGUUGGUCUCCUCUAGUCUGUGGUUUGGGGCACCAUCUACACAGAUGCUUCCCUGAUUUUCCGUCAUCAGCGCCUCCUUCCCGAGCUCUAGCCUCAUAUCUUCAAUGGCUGAUUUAAUUUUUGACUUCUAUGUCCAGGUUUACCAUUUACAAAGCACAACUCUUGAUUAUUCACCAGCAAACACACUUUCCCCUGCGUUUUCUCCUCCUAGCAAAUGAUCUCACCACUGACCUGUCUGCCUGGGCCGACACCUGGGACCACCCCUGAGUCCUCAGCAUCCCCGCAGGAAACAAGCCAGUGAGAAGGACGAUUUACAUGAAAAGGCCUGACUGGAAGGGCUACUCUCAGAGAUGGGGGCAGAGAUAAGCAACAAAGGACAGAUGUUAAGGACCCAGAGACCAGCGACAGCAGGAAGUCCCCACCACCCUAGGCCAGAAGGGACCAGAGAGAAACAGAAUAUUCGGAGGCCAGGGAAGGUGGGUCUCUUCCUGGUGGGAACUGUGGUCAGGCAGUGACCA